RNAcentral lists this long non-coding RNA (390 nucleotides) under Lathyrus oleraceus (garden pea). RNAcentral's name for it is "Pisum sativum (pea) long non-coding RNA (PSAT_LNC035230)". The record is from RNAcentral. Lineage: Eukaryota; Viridiplantae; Streptophyta; Magnoliopsida; Fabales; Fabaceae.
UGAACUUCUCAGGGCUGCCUGAAGGUCGCUGCAGAGUAGUUCCUAGGUUUCCUUCUCUCAAAAUCUUUCUCCAAUGAAUCUCCCAGUGUAACUCCAAGUGUGUUUUCCUCUACUGAAACUUCAGUAUUUAUACACUGAUUUUCGUGGGUAGUGGGCUCAAAUGAGGGAGACCCAAGUCCAAAAAAAUUUGUUAUAUUUUAUUUAUUUAUUUAAUUAAUUUUAUUUAUUUUUAACUCUUUUUUUUUCCAGGAAAAAUGAAGGGUAAAUUUUGGGGUAUUACACCGGUUAAAGUGGACAUAUCAAGGAUAGACUCUGAAAAGGGGAAUAAUAGGAUUUACAACUACCUGUUAUUGGGUAGAAGACCACUCAAGGAGAAAAUCCGUCAUCGAU